UGUGCCUUGGUUCAUCUUCUUUUUCUUCUUCUUCUUCAAGAAGAAACCGAGCCACCAAGAGUAGCUUCCAUCAAGCUUUUGAAACUUGAUUUGCUUCUGUGAAAUGCCUUUGAGGACCUCAAGAGGAUGAUUGGACAAUGAAGAUGGAGAUUGAAGGAGAACAACAAUCACUCCUACAAGCUUCUUCCAUCACAAGGUCAAUAGGAGGAAUCCGACUUAUUAGAGUUAUGUUUGUUGUGAACAUAAUGGAUACUUUGGAUUGGUGAGGUGGCGUAAUGAAGGGUGAAGAUGUUACCGUGAGGAGUGAUAAGGAAUUGGUGUGGUCGAGUGGUGUAACUAAGUUACAUUAGUUGUCUAUAAUAAUGUUAGGGGAUAAAGUCAUGUGGGUUGGCAACAUAGAAGUGUCAGAGGAUUUUUAAAUGAGUGAAAAGGAUUGUUUGACCAAGAAGAGGUUGUAGAAACGCUUGGCAAGUUUUGGGGAUGGAUAACGAGCCAAAUUUGUCUGUUAGUAAAAUUGGAGUUUGAGGAGAACAUAAGUUCCCAAUGUGAAGAGAAGUUGCGAAAAGGGGUGGACUGGAUCAAGGAUAAGCCUUGGUAUAUUGAAAAAUGGAUGGAGGGUGUUUUCCAUAAAGAGCCUUGUAUGGAGACAUGCCAAUUACAAAGUGAAAAGUAGUAUUGUACUAAUAUUUUGCAAUGUGGAGAAAUGCAAACCAAAAGCGCGAUCUGCCACUUGCAAAACAAAAGAGGUGUACCAUGAAGCUUCCAAAUGUCAGUUGAAAAGCAUGGUGUGAAUUUUUCAGCAAUGAAAUAGGACAAAAGACACACAAAAUGAACGUAUUUCGUGAGGCAAUUGCAAAGAACCCAUAUGACAAUAUGACCAAAAGAGUUGGGUAAGUGAGUAACAAAGUCCACGGUGAUGUCUUCCUACACCCUUUCUAGUAUUGGCAAUGGAUGUAACGGGCCUUGUGUUUUCUUAGGCUGAUAUUUACCUGUUUGGCAGAUGAAACCAUUGUGAAUGUAAUGUUUGGUGUUUGUAUAUCGUCCUAGCUAGUAGAAAUUUGCAGUAAUGCAAUCCAUUAUGGGUUUUAAACUGGAGUGGCCUACCGAAGGAAAACCAUGGAGUUCCUAUAAUAUGGAAUUACAAAAUUCAGAGGGUAAGAAUAUCCUAUUUUGGAAAUAAAGCAAUCCAUUUGUAAAGUGAAAAUCAAAGUUGUUUCCAUGUAUUGUAUAAUUUUUAACCAAUUUUUAACCCCCUAUAUCAGUGGCAUAGUAUUGACACAUCUAUUUAGGAAUAGUAGGAAAAGGAGAAGAAGUGGCAACAAAGGAUAAGGCUGGUUGGGCCAUUGCUCCAAAAUUAGGUAGUUCCGAUCAAGAAAAGGGCAUCAACCACUUGAUUGUGCUUGCUAGGGUGGUAAAAAAACCUCAA
Molecule: non-coding RNA, 1426 nt
Organism: Cajanus cajan (pigeon pea)
Lineage: Eukaryota; Viridiplantae; Streptophyta; Magnoliopsida; Fabales; Fabaceae
Source: RefSeq, a predicted model, not a curated record